UUCGCAAUGCCCGAAAGGGUGACGAAGCGACGCCGCGUGCGGGAAGAAGGCCUUCGGGUUGUAAACCGCUGUCGGGAGUUAAGAAAUGCAAGGGUGUUAACAGCAUCCUUGCUUGACUAAGGCUCCGGAGGAAGCCACGGCUAACUCUGUGCCAGCAGCCGCGGUAAUACAGAGGUGGCAAGCGUUGUUCGGUAUUAUUGGGCGUAAAGAGCACGUAGGUGGUUUUGUAAGUCAGAUGUGAAAGCCUUCUGUUCAAAGGAAGAACGGCAUCUGAAACUGCAGAUCUUGAGUGUAGGAGGGGAGAGUGGAACUUCUGGUGGAGCGGUGAAAUGCGUAGAUAUCAGAAGGAACGCCGGCGGCGAAAGCGGCUCUCUGGCCCAUAACUGACGCUGAGUGUGCGAAAGCUAGGGGAGCAAACGGGAUUAGAUACCCCGGUAGUCCUAGCCGUAAACGAUGGGCACUAAGUAGAGGGGUUUU
RNAcentral lists this ribosomal RNA (477 nucleotides) under uncultured anaerobic ammonium-oxidizing bacterium. Its description in RNAcentral is "bacterial SSU rRNA". It matches the Rfam family "Bacterial small subunit ribosomal RNA", at positions 365 to 832 of the family's 1533-position model. The record is from RNAcentral.